This 446-nucleotide ribosomal RNA is filed under the name uncultured bacterium. RNAcentral describes it as "partial 16S ribosomal RNA". It matches the Rfam family "Bacterial small subunit ribosomal RNA", at positions 338 to 795 of the family's 1533-position model. The record is from RNAcentral.
CCUACGGGUGGCAGCAGUCGAGAAUCAUUCACAAUGGGGGAAACCCUGAUGGUGCGACGCCGCGUGGGGGAAUGAAGGUCUUCGGAUUGUAAACCCCUGUCAUGUGGGAGCAAAUUAAAAAGAUAGUACCACAAGAGGAAGAGACGGCUAACUCUGUGCCAGCAGCCGCGGUAAUACAGAGGUCUCAAGCGUUGUUCGGAAUCACUGGGCGUAAAGCGUGCGUAGGCUGUUUCGUAAGUCGUGUGUGAAAGGCGCGGGCUCAACCGGCGGACGGCACGUGAGACUGCGAGACUAGAGUGAUGAAGGGGGGACCGGAAUUCUAGGUGUAGCAGUGAAAUGCGUAGAUAUCGGGAGGAACACUCGUGGCGAAGGCGGGUGCCUGGACAUUAACUGACGCUGAGGCACGAAGGCCAGGGGAGCGAAAGGGAUUAGAUACCCGAGUAGUC